GACGAACGCUGGCGGCGUGCUUAACACAUGCAGGUCGAACGCUGAAGCUCAGCUUUUGUUGGGUGGAUGAGUGGCGAACGGGUGAGUAACACGUGAGUAACCUGCCUCCUUCUUUGGGAUAACGCCCGGAAACGGGUGCUAAUACUGGAUAUUCACUGGUCUUCGCAUGGGGGUUGGUGGAAAGGGUUUUUCUGGUGGGGGAUGGGCUCGCGGCCUAUCAGCUUGUUGGUGGGGUGAUGGCCUACCAAGGCUUUGACGGGUAGCCGGCCUGAGAGGGUGACCGGUCACAUUGGGACGGAGAUACGGCCCAGACGCCGACGGGGGGCAGAAGUGGGGAAUAUUGGACAAUGGGCGAAAGAGUGAUGCAGCGACGCCGCGUGAGGGAUGGGGGCCGUCGGGUUGUGAACCUCUUUCGCUAAUGGUCAAGCCGCAACAAUGGUUGUGGUGAGGGUAGUGGGUAAAGAAGCGCCGGCUAACUACGUG
Molecule: ribosomal RNA, 483 nt
Filed under: uncultured bacterium
Lineage: Bacteria
Description: partial 16S ribosomal RNA
Rfam family: Bacterial small subunit ribosomal RNA
Source: RNAcentral